UCCGGCUUAACGCCGGCAGUCUACCUAGAGUGCCCAACUUAAUGGUGGCAACUAAGUACGAGGGUUGCGCUCGUUGCGGGACUUAGCCCAACAUCUCACGACACGAGCUGACGACAGCCAUGCAGCACCUGUGUCCCCGCCAGCCGAACUGAAGGAUGAGGUCUCCCCCACCCAUACGAGGCAUGUCAAGAGCUGGUAAGGUUCUUCGCGUUGCGUCGAAUUAAACCACAUGCUCCACCGCUUGUGCGGGCCCCCGUCAAUUCCUUUGAGUUUCAGCCUUGCGGCCGUACUCCCCAGGCGGGGCACUUAAUGCGUUAGCGCCGGCCCUCAGAGGGUCGCUCCCCCAAGGACCUAGUGCCCAUCGUUUACGGCGUGGACUAC
RNAcentral lists this unclassified non-coding RNA (381 nucleotides) under uncultured bacterium. Its description in RNAcentral is "contains 16S-23S intergenic spacer region". The record is from RNAcentral.